This 324-nucleotide ribosomal RNA is filed under the name uncultured Cercomonas. RNAcentral's name for it is "SSU rRNA". The stretch from base 62 to 324 matches the Rfam family "Eukaryotic small subunit ribosomal RNA", at positions 691 to 955 of the family's 1831-position model. The record is from RNAcentral. Lineage: Eukaryota; Cercozoa; Cercomonadida; Cercomonadidae.
AAUUUCUGAUGUGAUGCGCUUGGCCCACUGGCCCUCAAAAGCCGGCGAGUGCUGACGUGCGUCCAUCAUCCUUCUAGAGAACGACUCUGCCCCUCACGGGGUGGGGCCGCAAUCUAGAUCUUUUACUUUGAAAAAAUUAGAGUGUUUAAGGCAAGCAAUUGCUUUGAAUAUAUUAGCAUGGAAUAAUAAUUUAGGACUUUGUUCUUAUUUUGUUGGUUUCUAAGGAUAAAGUAAUGAUUGAUAGGGACAGUUGGGGGUGCUAGUAUUCAGUGGCCAGAGGUGAAAUUCUUGGAUUCACUGAAGACUAACUUAUGCGAAAGCAUU